GCCCGCGAAGCAGGCAGGGUGGGAAGGGAGCAGCGGCUGGCGUUGCCGGUAUGUUGCCGGGG
Molecule: non-coding RNA, 62 nt
Filed under: Durinskia baltica
Lineage: Eukaryota; Dinophyceae; Peridiniales; Kryptoperidiniaceae
Source: RNAcentral